This 804-nucleotide ribosomal RNA is filed under the name uncultured fungus. Its description in RNAcentral is "eukaryotic LSU rRNA". It matches the Rfam family "Eukaryotic large subunit ribosomal RNA", at positions 30 to 821 of the family's 3401-position model. The record is from RNAcentral. Lineage: Eukaryota; Fungi.
GAACUUAAGCAUAUCAAUGAGCGGAGGAAAAGAAACUAACAAGGAUUCCCUCAGUAACUGCGAGUGAAGUGGGAAAAGCUCAAAUUUGAAAUCUGGCAGCUCUUUCAGGUUGUCCGAGUUGUAAUCUAGAGAAGCGUUACCUGUGUUGGACCGUGUAAAAGUCUUCUGGAAUGGAGCAUCAUAGAGGGUGAGAAUCCCGUCUUUGACAUGGACUACCAGCAUGCCAAGGUGCACUCUCAAAGAGUCGAGUUGUUUGGGAAUGCAGCUCAAAAUGGGUGGUAAAUGCCAUCUAAAGCUAAAUAUUGGCGAGAGACCGAUAGCGAACAAGUACCGUGAGGGAAAGAUGAAAAGAACUUUGGAAAGAGAGUUAAACAGUACGUGAAAUUGCUGAAAGGGAAACGCUUAAAGUCAGUCGCAUUAGCUGGAAAUCAGGCUUGCUUUUGCAAGGUGCACUUUCUAGUUGAUGGGUCAGCAUCAAUUUUAAUCGUUGGAUAAAGUCAUUGGGAAUGUGGCAUCUUUGGAUGUGUUAUAGCCCAGUGUUGAAUACAGCGGUCAGGAUUGAGGAAUUCAGCAUGCCUCUAGGGGCCAGGUUUCGACCAUGUUCAUGCUUAGGAUGCUGGCAUAAUGGCUUUAAUCGACCCGUCUUGAAACACGGACCAAGGAGUCUAACAUGCCUGCGAGUGUUUGGGUGAAAAACCCAUACGCACAAUGAAAGUGAAAGUUGAGAUCCUUAGGGAGCAUUGACGCCCGGACCAGACCUUCUGUGACGGAUCCGCGGUAGAGCAUGUAUGUUGGGACCCGAAA